This is a transfer RNA of 96 nucleotides. It matches the Rfam family "tRNA". From Rfam's summary of the family: Transfer RNA (tRNA) molecules are approximately 80 nucleotides in length. Their secondary structure includes four short double-helical elements and three loops (D, anti-codon, and T loops). The record is from Rfam.
UCCGAUAUGGUGUAGUGGCUAACAUUAUCGCCUCUCAUUGAAUGGUGUCACGAGAGUUUGACGCGAUAGCCCGGGGUUCGAUUCCCCGUGUCGGAA